Molecule: long non-coding RNA, 146 nt
Organism: Ipomoea nil (Japanese morning glory)
Lineage: Eukaryota; Viridiplantae; Streptophyta; Magnoliopsida; Solanales; Convolvulaceae
Exons: 3
Source: RefSeq, a predicted model, not a curated record
GGAUUCAUUUUCUUUUGUUAAAGUCUAAUUUGUCCUUAAUUAAUAGUUUAUUUUUGUUGUGCAUUAUAAAUGUAUUAUACAACAACACUACCAACCUGGGGUGUGGUUGAGUAGAAGGGACUCAUUCAUCUUUACUUAAAUUUUAA